This 29-nucleotide non-coding RNA is filed under the name Rattus norvegicus (Norway rat). Lineage: Eukaryota; Metazoa; Chordata; Mammalia; Rodentia; Muridae. The record is from RNAcentral.
UGGAUAACAGGUCGGAGUGUCUGGCAAAG